This 253-nucleotide ribosomal RNA is filed under the name uncultured bacterium. RNAcentral's name for it is "partial 16S ribosomal RNA". It matches the Rfam family "Bacterial small subunit ribosomal RNA", at positions 524 to 776 of the family's 1533-position model. The record is from RNAcentral.
UACGUAGGGGGCGAGCGUUGUCCGGAAUCAUUGGGCGUAAAGAGCGCGUAGGCGGCCCGACAAGUCCGCUGUGAAAGUCAGGGGCUCAACCCUUGGAUGCCGGUGGAUACUGUCGGGCUCGAGUCCGGAAGAGGCGAGUGGAAUUCCUGGUGUAGCGGUGAAAUGCGCAGAUAUCAGGAGGAACACCAAUGGCGAAGGCAGCUCGCUGGGACGUGACUGACGCUGAGACGCGAAAGCGUGGGGAGCAAACAGG